RNAcentral lists this ribosomal RNA (868 nucleotides) under Pantoea stewartii subsp. stewartii. RNAcentral's name for it is "bacterial SSU rRNA". It matches the Rfam family "Bacterial small subunit ribosomal RNA", at positions 623 to 1533 of the family's 1533-position model. The record is from RNAcentral. Lineage: Bacteria; Pseudomonadati; Pseudomonadota; Gammaproteobacteria; Enterobacterales; Erwiniaceae.
ACAUUUGAAACUGGCAGGCUUGAGUCUCGUAGAGGGGGGUAGAAUUCCCGGUGUAGUCGGUGAAAUGGUAGAGAUUGGAGGAAUACCGGUGGCGAAGGCGGCCCCCUGGACGAAGACUGACGUUCAGGUGCGAAAGCGUGGGGAGCAAACAGGAUUAGAUACCCUGGUAGUCCACGCCGUAAACGAUGUCGACUUGGAGGUUGUUCCCUUGAGGAGUGGCUUCCGGAGCUAACGCGUUAAGUCGACCGCCUGGGGAGUACGGCCGCAAGGUUAAAACUCAAAUGAAUUGACGGGGGCCCGCACAAGCGGUGGAGCAUGUGGUUUAAUUCGAUGCAACGCGAAGAACCUUACCUACUCUUGACAUCCAGCGAACUUGGCAGAGAUGCCUUGGUGCCUUCGGGAACGCUGAGACAGGUGCUGCAUGGCUGUCGUCAGCUCGUGUUGUGAAAUGUUGGGUUAAGUCCCGCAACGAGCGCAACCCUUAUCCUUUGUUGCCAGCGAUUCGGUCGGGAACUCAAAGGAGACUGCCGGUGAUAAACCGGAGGAAGGUGGGGAUAACGUCAAGUCAUCAUGGCCCUUACGAGUAGGGCUACACACGUGCUACAAUGGCGCAUACAAAGAGAAGCGACCUCUCGAGAGCAAGCGGACCUCACAAAGUGCGUCGUAGUCCGGAUCGGAGUCUGCAACUAGACUCCGUGAAGUCGGAAUCGCUAGUAAUCGUGGAUCAGAAUUGCGCAUUGAAAAGGUUCUCGUACUCAGUACAGGCGGCCGGUCACUCCGCGCGUGUUAGUCUAAAAGACGUAGGUAGGAAGCCUUACUGAUGGCGUAGGAGCAUGGCGCGAUCGAGAUAGCGGCAAUCCGUGGNCGA